AUUGAACGCUGGCGGCAUGCCUUACACAUGCAAGUCGAACGGUAACGCGGGGCAACCUGGCGACGAGUGGCGAACGGGUGAGUAAUGCAUCGGAACGUGCCCAGUAGUGGGGGAUAACUGCUCGAAAGAGCAGCUAAUACCGCAUACGACCUGAGGGUGAAAGCGGGGGAUCGCAAGACCUCGCGCUAUUGGAGCGGCCGAUGUCAGAUUAGGUAGUUGGUGGGGUAAAGGCCCACCAAGCCAACGAUCUGUAGCUGGUCUGAGAGGACGACCAGCCACACUGGGACUGAGACACGGCCCAGACUCCUACGGGAGGCAGCAGUGGGGAAUUUUGGACAAUGGACGCAAGUCUGAUCCAGCCAUGCCGCGUGCGGGAAGAAGGCCUUCGGGUUGUAAACCGCUUUUGUCAGGGAAGAAACGCUCUGGGUUAAUACCUCGGGGUAAUGACGGUACCUGAAGAAUAAGCACCGGCUAACUACGUGCCAGCAGCCGCGGUAA
Molecule: ribosomal RNA, 498 nt
Filed under: uncultured bacterium
Lineage: Bacteria
Description: partial 16S ribosomal RNA
Rfam family: Bacterial small subunit ribosomal RNA
Source: RNAcentral